CGGCAACAGCUCAAAUUUGAAAUCUGGUCCCCCCGGGGCCCGAGUUGUAAUUUGCAGAGGGUGCUUCGGCGUCGGCUCCGGUCCAAGUUCCUUGGAACAGGACGUCACAGAGGGUGAGAACCCCGUACGUGGCCGGAAGUCUUCGCCGUGUGAAGCCCCUUCGAC
This 165-nucleotide ribosomal RNA is filed under the name Valsaria sp. RNAcentral's name for it is "partial large subunit ribosomal RNA". It matches the Rfam family "Eukaryotic large subunit ribosomal RNA", at positions 99 to 261 of the family's 3401-position model. Lineage: Eukaryota; Fungi; Ascomycota; Dothideomycetes; Valsariales; Valsariaceae. The record is from RNAcentral.